UACGAAGGGGGCUAGCGUUGUUCGGAAUUACUGGGCGUAAAGCGCACGCAGGCGGUCUGAUUAGUCAGAAGUGAAAGCCCCGGGCUCAACCUGGGAACUGCUUUUGAUACUGUCAGGCUUGAAUCACGGAGAGGGUAGUGGAAUUCCGAGUGUAGAGGUGAAAUUCGUAGAGAUGUGGAGGAACACCAAUGGCGAAGGCAAUCCCCUGGACCUGUACUGACGCUCAUGCACGAAAGCGUGGGGAGCAAACAGG
This 253-nucleotide ribosomal RNA is filed under the name uncultured bacterium. RNAcentral describes it as "partial 16S ribosomal RNA". It matches the Rfam family "Bacterial small subunit ribosomal RNA", at positions 524 to 776 of the family's 1533-position model. The record is from RNAcentral.